GACGAACGCUGGCGGCGUGCUUAACACAUGCAAGUCGAACGGAAAGGCCCUGCUUUUGUGGGGUGCUCGAGUGGCGAACGGGUGAGUAACACGUGAGUAACCUGCCCUUGACUUUGGGAUAACUUCAGGAAACUGGGGCUAAUACCGGAUAGGAGCUCCUGCUGCAUGGUGGGGGUUGGAAAGUUUCGGCGGUUGGGGAUGGACUCGCGGCUUAUCAGCUUGUUGGUGGGGUAGUGGCUUACCAAGGAUUUGACGGGUAGCCGGCCUGAGAGGGUGACCGGCCACAUUGGGACUGAGAUAAGGCCCAGACUCCUACGGGAGGCAGCAGUGGGGAAUAUUGCACAAUGGGCGGAAGCCUGAUGCAGCAACGCCGCGUGCGGGAUGAAGGCCUUCGGGUUGUAAACCGCUUUCGCCUGUGACGAAGCGUGAGUGACGGUAAUGGGUAAAGAAGCACCGGCUAACUACGUG
RNAcentral lists this ribosomal RNA (468 nucleotides) under uncultured bacterium. RNAcentral's name for it is "partial 16S ribosomal RNA". It matches the Rfam family "Bacterial small subunit ribosomal RNA", at positions 28 to 507 of the family's 1533-position model. The record is from RNAcentral.